This 1240-nucleotide ribosomal RNA is filed under the name metagenome. RNAcentral describes it as "bacterial LSU rRNA". It matches the Rfam family "Bacterial large subunit ribosomal RNA", at positions 1564 to 2813 of the family's 2925-position model. The record is from RNAcentral.
UGAUGACGAGACGCUAAGGCGUUGAAGCAGUGUAUGUCAGACUUCCAAGAAAAGCUCGCAAUGUCACAAAUAAACAAUGCCUGUACCAUAACCGACACAGGUGGGUAGGUAGAGUAUACUAAGGGGCGCGAGAUAACUCUCUCUAAGGAACUCGGCAAAAUGACUCCGUAACUUCGGGAGAAGGAGUGCCUUAUUUAUAAGGUUGCAAUAACAAGAUCCAAGCAACUGUUUAUCAAAAACACAGGUCUCCGCUAAGUCGUAAGACGAUGUAUGGGGGCUGACGCCUGCCCAGUGCCAGAAGGUUAAAGAAGUUGGUUAGUGUAUGCGAAGCUGAUGACUGAAGCCCUGGUGAACGGCGGCCGUAACUAUAACGGUCCUAAGGUAGCGAAAUUCCUUGUCGGGUAAGUUCCGACCCGCACGAAAGGCGUAAUGAUUUGGAUACUGUCUCGGAGAGAGGCUCGGUGAAAUAGACUUGUCUGUGAAGAUGCGGACUACCUGCACCAGGACAGAAAGACCCUAUGAAGCUUUACUGUAACUUGAAAUUGGAAUUGGACUUUGCUUGCGCAGUAUAGGUGGGAAGCGUUGAAAAUAUUCUUGCGGGAGUAUUGGAGCUAUCAGUGAGAUACCACUCUUGUAAUGUUAGAUUUCUAACUUUGAACCAUAAUCUGGUCAAAGAACAGUUUCAGGUGGGCAGUUUGACUGGGGCGGUCGCCUCCCAAAUGGUAACGGAGGCGUACAAAGGUUUCCUCUGAACGGAUAGAAAUCGUAUCUAGAGUGUAAAGGCAUAAGGAAGCUUGACUGUGAGACCUACAAGUCGAGCAGGGACGAAAGUCGGUCUUAGUGAUCUGACGGUACUGAGUGGAAAGGCCGUCACUCAACGGAUAAAAGUUACUCUAAGGAUAACAGGCUGAUCUCCCCCAAGAGUUCACAUCGACGGGGAGGUUUGGCACCUCGAUGUCGGCUCAUCGCAUCCUGGGGCGGUAGUACGUCCCAAGGGUUGGGCUGUUCGCCCAUGAAAGCGGUACGCGAGCUGGGUUCAGAACGUCGUGAGACAGUUCGGUCCAUAUCCGGUGUAGGCGCUAGAAUAUUGAGAGGAGCCUUCUUUAGUACGAGAGGACCGAGAAGGACACACCGCUGGUGUACCAGUUAUCGUGCCAACGGUAAACGCUGGGUAGCUAUGUGUGGAGUGGAUAACCGCUGAAAGCAUCUAAGUGGGAAGCCCACCUCGAGAUGAGUAUUC